This 460-nucleotide ribosomal RNA is filed under the name uncultured bacterium. RNAcentral describes it as "partial 16S ribosomal RNA". It matches the Rfam family "Bacterial small subunit ribosomal RNA", at positions 338 to 795 of the family's 1533-position model. The record is from RNAcentral.
CCUACGGGUGGCAGCAGUGAGGAAUAUUGGUCAAUGGUCGGAAGGCUGAACCAGCCAUGCCGCGUGAAGGUCAGUGCCCUAUGGGCGUUAAACUUCUUUUGUGCGGGAGCAAUAAUGGUCACGUGUGGCCAGACGAGAGUACCGUACGAAUAAGCAUCGGCUAACUCCGUGCCAGCAGCCGCGGUAAUACGGGGGAUGCAAGCGUUAUCCGGAUUUAUUGGGUUUAAAGGGUGCGUAGGCUGGGAGGUAAGUCAGCGGUGAAAUGCCCCCGCUCAACGGGGUGAAGUGCCAUUGAUACUGCCUGGCUGGAAUGCGGAUGCCGUGGGAGGAAUGUGUGGUGUAGCGGUGAAAUGCAUAGAUAUCACACAGAACACCGAUUGCGAAGGCAUCUCACGAAUCCGCGAUUGACGCUGAUGCACGAAAGCGUGGGUAUCAAACAGGAUUAGAUACCCUUGUAGUC